This 258-nucleotide ribosomal RNA is filed under the name uncultured bacterium. RNAcentral describes it as "partial 16S ribosomal RNA". It matches the Rfam family "Bacterial small subunit ribosomal RNA", at positions 795 to 1052 of the family's 1533-position model. The record is from RNAcentral.
CCACGCCGUAAACUAUGAUUACUCGGAGUUUGAAAUUAAUUUAAGCUCCCAAGCGAAAGCGAUAAGUAAUCCACCUGGGGAGUACGUCGGCAACGAUGAAACUCAAAGGAAUUGACGGGGGCCCGCACAAGCGGAGGAACAUGUGGUUUAAUUCGAUGAUACGCGAGGAACCUUACCCGGGAUUGAAAUGUAUAUGGAGGUAUUGGAAACAGUACUGUUUUUCGUAAGAAGACAUAUAUGUAGGUGCUGCAUGGUUGU